UAGGGAAUCUUCCACAAUGGACGAAAGUCUGAUGGAGCAACGCCGCGUGAACGAUGAAGGCCUUCGGGUCGUAAAGUUCUGUUGUAAGGGAAGAACAAGUGCCGCAGGCAAUGGCGGCACCUUGACGGUACCUUGCGAGAAAGCCACGGCUAACUACGUGCCAGCAGCCGCGGUAAUACGUAGGUGGCAAGCGUUGUCCGGAAUUAUUGGGCGUAAAGCGCGCGCAGGCGGCCUCUUAAGUCUGAUGUGAAAGCCCCCGGCUCAACCGGGGAGGGCCAUUGGAAACUGGGAGGCUUGAGUAUAGGAGAGAAGAGUGGAAUUCCACGUGUAGCGGUGAAAUGCGUAGAGAUGUGGAGGAACACCAGUGGCGAAGGCGACUCUUUGGCCUAUAACUGACGCUGAGGCGCGAAAGCGUGGGGAGCAAACAGG
RNAcentral lists this ribosomal RNA (429 nucleotides) under uncultured bacterium. RNAcentral's name for it is "bacterial SSU rRNA". It matches the Rfam family "Bacterial small subunit ribosomal RNA", at positions 355 to 776 of the family's 1533-position model. The record is from RNAcentral. RNAcentral also lists the same sequence under 1 other name.